GCUUUAUAUUCAAAAAAUGAUAUAAAAUUGCAAAUUUUAAGGUGAAAAUAUUUUUCUAAGGCUU
RNAcentral lists this transfer RNA (64 nucleotides) under Euploea core. RNAcentral's name for it is "tRNA-Cys". Lineage: Eukaryota; Metazoa; Arthropoda; Insecta; Lepidoptera; Nymphalidae. The record is from RNAcentral.